GCGGACAUAGCUCAGUUGGUAGAGCGCAACCUUGCCAAGGUUGAGGUCGCGGGUUCGAGCCCCGUUGUCCGCU
Molecule: non-coding RNA, 73 nt
Organism: Actinobaculum suis
Lineage: Bacteria; Bacillati; Actinomycetota; Actinomycetes; Actinomycetales; Actinomycetaceae
Source: Rfam